UAUUGCGCAAUGGGCGAAAGCCUGACGCAGCAACGCCGCGUGGGGGAUGAAGGCCUUCGGGUUGUAAACCUCUUUCAGCAGGGAAGAAGCGAAAAGUGACGGUACCUGCAGAAGAAGCACCGGCUAACUACGUGCCAGCAGCCGCGGUAAUACGUAGGGUGCAAGCGUUGUCCGGAUUUAUUGGGCGUAAAGAGCUCGUAGGCGGUUAGUCACGUCGGAUGUGAAUCCCGAGCUAACUCCGGGCCUGCAUUCAUACGGGCUACUCGAGUGUUGAGGGGGACUGAACUCCUGGUGAGCGGUAAAUGCGCAGUUCAGAAGACACCGGUGGAAGCGGGCUCUGGGAACUCUGCGUGAGCAAAUAGAUAG
RNAcentral lists this ribosomal RNA (366 nucleotides) under uncultured bacterium. Its description in RNAcentral is "bacterial SSU rRNA". It matches the Rfam family "Bacterial small subunit ribosomal RNA", at positions 362 to 764 of the family's 1533-position model. The record is from RNAcentral.